GCCUUCAUAGUCUAAUGGUCAGCACUCUCGGCUCGUAUUCGAGAGGUCCGAGGUUCGAAUCCCGGCGAGUGUA
This 73-nucleotide transfer RNA is filed under the name Stegodyphus mimosarum. It matches the Rfam family "tRNA". Rfam says of the family: Transfer RNA (tRNA) molecules are approximately 80 nucleotides in length. Their secondary structure includes four short double-helical elements and three loops (D, anti-codon, and T loops). Further hydrogen bonds mediate the characteristic L-shaped molecular structure. tRNAs have two regions of fundamental functional importance: the anti-codon, which is responsible for specific mRNA codon recognition, and the 3' end, to which the tRNAs corresponding amino acid is attached (by aminoacyl-tRNA synthetases). tRNAs cope with the degeneracy of the genetic code in two manners: having more than one tRNA (with a specific anti-codon) for a particular amino acid; and 'wobble' base-pairing, i.e. permitting non-standard base-pairing at the 3rd anti-codon position. The record is from Rfam by way of RNAcentral. Lineage: Eukaryota; Metazoa; Arthropoda; Arachnida; Araneae; Eresidae.